CAAAGGCUUGGUCCUGACUUUAAUAUCUGCUAUAGUCAUAUUUAUACAUGCAAGUAUCCGCCCCCCUGUGAGAAUGCCCUUACUUCCCUUUAAGGAAUAAGGAGCCGGUAUCAGGCACACUCCUACCAGUAGCCCACUACACCUUGCUAUGCCACCCCCUCAAGGGAAUUCAGCAGUGAUUAAUAUUAAGCAAUGAGUGUAAACUCGACUUAGUAAUGACUAAUAAGGCCGGUAAAAUUCGUGCCAGCAACCGCGGUUAUACGAAAGGCCUAAGUUGAUAAAACACGGCGUAAAGAGUGGUUAAGGAGACUAUAUACUAAAGUUAAAACUCCUCCUGGUCGUUUUAAACCUAUGAAUCUGAGAGAAUCUACCACGAAAGUGACUUUAAUUUCCUGACCCCACGAAAGCUAGGAAACAAACUGGGAUUAGAUACCCCACUAUGCCUAGUUGUAAACUAUUACACCCUUUCACAUGAGUGUUCGCCCGGGUACUACAAACACUAGUUUCAAACCCAAAGGACCUGGCGGUGCUUAAUAUCCCCCUAGAGGAGCCUGUUCUAUAACCGAUAACCCCCGUUCAACCUCACCCCCUCUUGCAACCCCUGCCUAUAUACCGCCGUCGUCAGCUCACCCUCUUAAGGUUUAAAAGUAAGCAGAAUUGGUAUACCCUUAAACGUCAGGUCGAGGUGUAGUACAUGAGGGGGGAAGAAAUGGGCUACAUUGACUACACUAGUCUACCACGGAAGAAUCACACUGAAAUCUGUGCCUUAAGGUGGAUUUAGAAGUAAGUAAAAAGCAGAGCGUUUUACUGAAUGCGGCUCUUAAGCACGCACAUACCGCCCGUCACCCUCCCUAAAAGUACAAUCUAUUAUUACUAAUUAGCUAUCUCUCACUUUUUCAAGAGAGGGAAGUCGUAACAUGGUAAGUUUACCGGAAGGUGUACUUGGCACC
RNAcentral lists this non-coding RNA (950 nucleotides) under Cynoglossus nanhaiensis. RNAcentral's name for it is "12S ribosomal RNA". It matches the Rfam family "Bacterial small subunit ribosomal RNA". The record is from RNAcentral. Lineage: Eukaryota; Metazoa; Chordata; Actinopteri; Pleuronectiformes; Cynoglossidae.